Canis lupus familiaris (dog) is the source of this 803-nucleotide long non-coding RNA. RefSeq lists it as uncharacterized. The transcript has 4 exons. The record is from RefSeq and is a predicted model, not a curated record. Lineage: Eukaryota; Metazoa; Chordata; Mammalia; Carnivora; Canidae.
UUUCCUGCUGCCCUCGUGAAAGCAGUGGCCGCUCCACCUCGGGACUCCGGGACCCGUUCGUAGCCGCUCGGAGAGUGCGCGCCUGCUGUGAUAUUUACAGUUUCCCCCUCAAACCAGAGUGAACGGCCGUGGGAUCGCGGGGGCGCGGAUCGUUGCGGGCCGCCUCAGUCGCAGACGCCGGGGCCCCGCUUUGUUUCGGUGUUUGGACCUCGCGUUCGUCCUGGCUCCGCCUCCGCGGCGGGGACUCCCCGGGGGUCCUGCCCUUGGGCGCCCUGCAAGCCGAGCGGCGAGGCUCCCUUAGCGCCAGCGCUGGCUCCACGCCGCUGGGCCCGGGACGCCCCCCAGACCCUGGGGUUCCCGGGGUCCUGCACCCGGGGCCUUCGGAGGUGAAGCCUCGGUGGACGCCAGACAGAGCCUGAGAAAUGACUGUGCCUCAGUAAGCCUGAUUUCAUCCUCAGGAGGGGAAGCCAGAUCCAAGAACUAAAGAGUCUCUUGGGAUCUUCAGAGGAUUUGUGCCAAUGAGAAUUUGACAAAAGAAUACUCAAAUGUGACCUUACUGCCAGAGAAUGAAGAGUUCUUGGAUCAAACAGAAGCUUUUCUCCAAGGGGAAGCCUCUGACUCUCAACAUGAAGCUCUCUUAAUCCUUCUACUCCUUCCAAACCUUCUAUAACAGCAAUGUAAUUGCCUCCCAGAUACCUACAAAAUAUAAAGCAAUUUUAAAUAGACAUUCUGAGAACAUCAUGGUCUGUAAACAUGAUAAAAACAUAACAAUCACUGAGCCAAGUGAAAAUUAUAUAUGUGGA